Molecule: ribosomal RNA, 831 nt
Filed under: alpha proteobacterium D0-PB-G01
Lineage: Bacteria; Pseudomonadati; Pseudomonadota; Alphaproteobacteria
Description: bacterial SSU rRNA
Rfam family: Bacterial small subunit ribosomal RNA
Source: RNAcentral
AGACGCUAUGCGCGGCAGGCCUAACACAUGCAAGUCGUACGAGAAGGUGCUCUUCGGGAACUGGAGAGUGGCGCACGGGUGAGUGAACGCGUGGGGACCUACCUCUUAGUGGGGGAUGAACGGUUGGAAACGACCGCUAAUACCGCAUACGCCCUUCGGGGGAAAGAUUUAUCGCUAAGAGAUGGACCCGCGUUGGAUUAGAUAGUUGGUGAGGUAACGGCUCACCAAGUCAGCGAUCCAUAGCUGGUUUGAGAGGAUGAUCAGCCACACUGGGACUGAGACACGGCCCAGACUCCUACGGGAGGCAGCAGUGGGGAAUAUUGGACAAUGGGCGCAAGCCUGAUCCAGCCAUGCCGCGUGAGUGAAGAAGGCCUUCGGGUUGUAAAGCUCUUUCAGAUGCGAAGAUGAUGACGGUAACAUCAGAAGAAGCCCCGGCUAAUUUCGUGCCAGCAGCCGCGGUAAUACGAAAGGGGCAAGCGUUGUUCGGAUUUACUGGGCGUAAAGGGCACGCAGGCGGUCCUGCCAGUCAGGGGUGAAAGCCCGGGGCUCAACCCCGGAACUGCCUCUGAUACUGCAGGACUAGAGACUAGGAGAGGGUGGUGGAAUUCCCAGUGUAGAGGGAAAUUCGUAGAUAUUGGGAGGAACACCAGAGGCGAAGGCGGCCACCUGGACUAGAUCUGACGCUCAUGUGCGAAAGCGUGGGGAGCCAACAGGAUUAGAUACCCCUGGUAGUCCACGCCGUAAACGAUGAGNGCUAGUUUGUCGGGAUUUUCGAUUNUCGGGUGACGCAGCCUACCGCAUUUAAGCACCUCCGCCCUGGGGAGUUCGGGG